CCUACGGGAGGCAGCAGUGAGGAAUAUUGGUCAAUGGACGAGAGUCUGAACCAGCCAAGUAGCGUGAAGGAUGACUGCCCUAUGGGUUGUAAACUUCUUUUAUAUGGGAAUAAAAUGUUCCACGUGUGGGAUUUUGUAUGUACCAUAUGAAUAAGGAUCGGCUAACUCCGUGCCAGCAGCCGCGGUAAUACGGAGGAUCCGAGCGUUAGCCGGAUUUAUUGGGUUUAAAGGGAGCGUAGGUGGAUUGUUAAGUCAGUUGUGAAAGUUUGCGGCUCAACCGUAAAAUUGCAGUUGAAACUGGCAGUCUUGAGUACAGUAGAGGUGGGCGGAAUUCGUGGUGUAGCGGUGAAAUGCUUAGAUUUCACGAAGAACUCCGAUUGCGAAGGCAGUUCACUGGACUGCAACUGACACUGAGGCUCGAAAGUGUGGGUAUCAAACAGGAUUAGAUACCCUUGUAGUC
Molecule: ribosomal RNA, 460 nt
Filed under: uncultured bacterium
Lineage: Bacteria
Description: partial 16S ribosomal RNA
Rfam family: Bacterial small subunit ribosomal RNA
Source: RNAcentral